UUUAUGCUAAUAAAGUGACUUAGGGUGGGGUCCCUAGAUAGCCUUGGGGUGGCUCUGAUCACCAGAAAGACUAAGUGAUCAAAGGGCUGGAACGUUCAGCCCCACCCACCAACCUCCAGGAAAUGAGGUAAGAGGGGCUAGAGAUUAAGCACUGCAAAAACUCUUCAACAAAAGCAUUUGAUGCGCUUCCAAACUGGUGAACACUUUUACAUGUUGCUCCUGUGCCGGAGACUUUUCCAGACCCUGCCCUAUGUACCUCUUCAUCUGUAUCCUUUAAAAUAAACCAGCAAAUGCAGUGAAGUGUCUUUCUUAGUUCUGUGAGCUGUUUCAGCAAAUGAUUGAACCUGAGGAUGGAGUUGAGGGAACUCCCUAUUUAGUGUGGGUUGAUAGCAGUACUUCAGUCAGAAGUAUGGGGACCAGGACUUGUGACCAGCAUCCGAAGUGGGGAGCAGUAUGUAGGACUGAACCCUUAAACUGAGCCAGAAUUGAAUUGAAUUGUUAAACACCCAGGUGGUGUCAGGUGAAUUGGAGGGUUGGUUGUUGAUUUUGGAAAAAGAGCCUUAAAAAUUUUAAAGUAAGGGAAAGUGGACUAUUAAAAGGAGAAUGGAGUUAUUGGAAAAGGUAUCUGCACAAAUGUCACCUGUUCAGAGAGACCUGGAUUGACCAUUCUUCAUGAGGACAGGGACAUCAU
Molecule: non-coding RNA, 691 nt
Organism: Vicugna pacos (alpaca)
Lineage: Eukaryota; Metazoa; Chordata; Mammalia; Artiodactyla; Camelidae
Source: RefSeq, a predicted model, not a curated record